UCUCCGUAGGUGAACCUGCGGAGGGAUCAUUACCGAGUGAGGGCUCACGCCCGACCUCCCACCCUUUGUGAACCCAUCUUGUUGCUUCGGGGGCGACCCUGCCGGCACUCUGUCGCCGGGCGCCCCCGAAGGUCUCCAAACACUGCAUCUUUGCGUCGGAGUUUAAAACAAAUUAACCACAACUUUCAACAGCGGAUCUCUUGGUUCUGGCAUCGAUGAAGAACGCAC
Molecule: unclassified non-coding RNA, 228 nt
Filed under: uncultured fungus
Lineage: Eukaryota; Fungi
Description: sequence contains ITS1, 5.8S rRNA gene
Rfam family: 5.8S ribosomal RNA (bases 181-228)
Source: RNAcentral